This 1332-nucleotide ribosomal RNA is filed under the name Escherichia coli. RNAcentral describes it as "partial 23S ribosomal RNA". It matches the Rfam family "Bacterial large subunit ribosomal RNA", at positions 412 to 1746 of the family's 2925-position model. Lineage: Bacteria; Pseudomonadati; Pseudomonadota; Gammaproteobacteria; Enterobacterales; Enterobacteriaceae. The record is from RNAcentral.
GUAGGGCGGGACACGUGGUAUCCUGUCUGAAUAUGGGGGGACCAUCCUCCAAGGCUAAAUACUCCUGACUGACCGAUAGUGAACCAGUACCGUGAGGGAAAGGCGAAAAGAACCCCGGCGAGGGGAGUGAAAAAGAACCUGAAACCGUGUACGUACAAGCAGUGGGAGCACGCUUAGGCGUGUGACUGCGUACCUUUUGUAUAAUGGGUCAGCGACUUAUAUUCUGUAGCAAGGUUAACCGAAUAGGGGAGCCGAAGGGAAACCGAGUCUUAACUGGGCGUUAAGUUGCAGGGUAUAGACCCGAAACCCGGUGAUCUAGCCAUGGGCAGGUUGAAGGUUGGGUAACACUAACUGGAGGACCGAACCGACUAAUGUUGAAAAAUUAGCGGAUGACUUGUGGCUGGGGGUGAAAGGCCAAUCAAACCGGGAGAUAGCUGGUUCUCCCCGAAAGCUAUUUAGGUAGCGCCUCGUGAAUUCAUCUCCGGGGGUAGAGCACUGUUUCGGCAAGGGGGUCAUCCCGACUUACCAACCCGAUGCAAACUACGAAUACCGGAGAAUGUUAUCACGGGAGACACACGGCGGGUGCUAACGUCCGUCGUGAAGAGGGAAACAACCCAGACCGCCAGCUAAGGUCCCAAAGUCAUGGUUAAGUGGGAAACGAUGUGGGAAGGCCCAGACAGCCAGGAUGUUGGCUUAGAAGCAGCCAUCAUUUAAAGAAAGCGUAAUAGCUCACUGGUCGAGUCGGCCUGCGCGGAAGAUGUAACGGGGCUAAACCAUGCACCGAAGCUGCGGCAGCGACGCUUAUGCGUUGUUGGGUAGGGGAGCGUUCUGUAAGCCUGCGAAGGUGUGCUGUGAGGCAUGCUGGAGGUAUCAGAAGUGCGAAUGCUGACAUAAGUAACGAUAAAGCGGGUGAAAAGCCCGCUCGCCGGAAGACCAAGGGUUCCUGUCCAACGUUAAUCGGGGCAGGGUGAGUCGACCCCUAAGGCGAGGCCGAAAGGCGUAGUCGAUGGGAAACAGGUUAAUAUUCCUGUACUUGGUGUUACUGCGAAGGGGGGACGGAGAAGGCUAUGUUGGCCGGGCGACGGUUGUCCCGGUUUAAGCGUGUAGGCUGGUUUUCCAGGCAAAUCCGGAAAAUCAAGGCUGAGGCGUGAUGACGAGGCACUACGGUGCUGAAGCAACAAAUGCCCUGCUUCCAGGAAAAGCCUCUAAGCAUCAGGUAACAUCAAAUCGUACCCCAAACCGACACAGGUGGUCAGGUAGAGAAUACCAAGGCGCUUGAGAGAACUCGGGUGAAGGAACUAGGCAAAAUGGUGCCGUAACUUCGGGAGAAGG